AGUGAACGCUGGCGGUAGGCCUAACACAUGCAAGUCGAACGGCAGCACAGUAAGAGCUUGCUCUUACGGGUGGCGAGUGGCGGACGGGUGAGGAAUACAUCGGAAUCUACUUUUUCGUGGGGGAUAACGUAGGGAAACUUACGCUAAUACCGCAUACGACCUACGGGUGAAAGCAGGGGAUCUUCGGACCUUGCGCGAUUGCAUGAGCCGAUGUCGGAUUAGCUAGUUGGCGGGGUAAAGGCCCACCAAGGCGACGAUCCGUAGCUGGUCUGAGAGGAUGAUCAGCCACACGAGAACUGAGACACGGUCCAGACUCCCACGGGAGGCAGCAGUGGGGAAGAUGGGACAAUGGGCGCAAGCCUGAUCCAGCCAUACCGCGUGGGUGAAGAAGGCCUUCGGGUUGUAAAGCCCUUUUGUGGGGAAAGAAAAGCAGCAGGGUAAUACCCCGCUGUUCUGACGGUACCCAAAGAAUAAGCACCGGCUAACUUCGUG
RNAcentral lists this ribosomal RNA (492 nucleotides) under uncultured bacterium. Its description in RNAcentral is "partial 16S ribosomal RNA". It matches the Rfam family "Bacterial small subunit ribosomal RNA", at positions 29 to 507 of the family's 1533-position model. The record is from RNAcentral.